Molecule: ribosomal RNA, 256 nt
Filed under: Staphylococcus aureus
Lineage: Bacteria; Bacillati; Bacillota; Bacilli; Caryophanales; Staphylococcaceae
Description: partial 23S ribosomal RNA
Rfam family: Bacterial large subunit ribosomal RNA
Source: RNAcentral
GUCGCCUCCUAAAAGGUAACGGAGGCGCUCAAAGGUUCCCUCAGAAUGGUUGGAAAUCAUUCAUAGAGUGUAAAGGCAUAAGGGAGCUUGACUGCGAGACCUACAAGUCGAGCAGGGUCGAAAGACGGACUUAGUGAUCCGGUGGUUCCGCAUGGAAGGGCCAUCGCUCAACGGAUAAAAGCUACCCCGGGGAUAACAGGCUUAUCUCCCCCAAGAGUUCACAUCGACGGGGAGGUUUGGCACCUCGAUGUCGGCU